AUGAUGUCCACAACUCCACACAAUUGGUAUUCCUUCUCACGUACAAAUGGCAAAAAACAAGGAAUUAGAGUGUAUCUAAACCUACCUUAUCUGGAAUCUGAUGAAUCAUCAGCUGAAGCAUUGAUUCAGUUGAUACCACAAAAGUUCAGCCUAUCUCGAAUCUUUAUUCUUCACACCAUUUUUCUAUAUAAGAUACUAACAACAAAAGUUCAGCCUGUCUCGAAUCUUGAUUCUUCUUCUUCUUUACUUAUUCGAGACAAUAUUAAAAAAAAAUUCAAAGAUCAGCCACUACCCUGGCCAUAG
RNAcentral lists this ribosomal RNA (303 nucleotides) under Triticum aestivum (bread wheat). RNAcentral's name for it is "partial small subunit ribosomal RNA". Lineage: Eukaryota; Viridiplantae; Streptophyta; Magnoliopsida; Poales; Poaceae. The record is from RNAcentral.